This 518-nucleotide long non-coding RNA is filed under the name Zonotrichia albicollis (white-throated sparrow). Its description in RNAcentral is "lncRNA (ENSZALG00000004954.1)". Lineage: Eukaryota; Metazoa; Chordata; Aves; Passeriformes; Passerellidae. The record is from RNAcentral.
UUAUUCCCUACCCCUGAAAGCUCCGCAGGCGUAUCGCUGUGCAUCCCCGGGCUGCACCGCUGCCAUGCCUCCCCUCUGAUGAACGGCCGCGGGGGCACGGCGCGGCGCUCGGCUGUUAGACGGGCAGACAGGAGAAAUAUAUUUGAUGGCUCCAGGACAGCUGCACUGCUGGAAUCAGAGCAGGACUCUGAGAAGGUACAUGCAAAGUUCAUCUUGAAUGGCAAGAGCAUCAUCUGAGCCACAAGCCUUCUUUUUCCACCCUUCCUCUGAUCACCUUCCAAAGAGACUCUCAAAUUCCUUACCCUUCCACUGCCACCUAAGAUUAAUCCUGCAGCCUAAACCACUUCCCUGAUAAGUCACAUCUCUGCCUUUCUUAAGACACCACAUGUUGCAGGAGCCAAUCUCUUAAAAAAAUCCCAACCAUAUAGGAGAAAUAUCCUUCCUGAAAUUGUGCACAAGUAAAGAUGGGGCAGAAGCUGGAAUCCAGACCAGCAUUUAGGCACUUUUCCAUUCUUGGC